ACGGGGGGGGUAAGCGUUGUUCGGAAUUACUGGGCGUAAAGGGCUCGUAGGCGGCCAACUAAGUCGGACGUGAAAUCCCUCAGCUUAACUGGGGAACUGCGUCCGAUACUGGAUGGCUUGGAUUUGGGAGAGGGAUGCGGAAUUCCAGGUGUAGCGGUGAAAUGCGUAGAGAUGUGGAGGAACACCGAUGGCGAAGGCAGCCCCCUGGGCUAACACUGACGCUCAUGCACGAAAGCGUGGGGAGCAAACAGGA
This 253-nucleotide ribosomal RNA is filed under the name uncultured prokaryote. RNAcentral describes it as "partial 16S ribosomal RNA". It matches the Rfam family "Bacterial small subunit ribosomal RNA", at positions 525 to 777 of the family's 1533-position model. The record is from RNAcentral.